This is a small nucleolar RNA of Coffea eugenioides, 91 nucleotides long. RefSeq annotates it as small nucleolar RNA Z221/R21b. The transcript has a single exon. The record is from RefSeq and is a predicted model, not a curated record. NCBI's taxonomy places the organism in Eukaryota, Viridiplantae, Streptophyta, Magnoliopsida, Gentianales, Rubiaceae.
GGGCUGUGAUGAGAUAUUGAGAAAGUCAUGCACCACUCUGAUAAUCUCAGGUGUUGAUAAAUUUCUCUUACCCACAUAAUUUUCUGAGCUC